This 771-nucleotide ribosomal RNA is filed under the name Aldrichina grahami. RNAcentral describes it as "eukaryotic LSU rRNA". It matches the Rfam family "Eukaryotic large subunit ribosomal RNA", at positions 44 to 664 of the family's 3401-position model. The record is from RNAcentral. Lineage: Eukaryota; Metazoa; Arthropoda; Insecta; Diptera; Calliphoridae.
CAACAUUUAUAGAACUAACCAGGAUUUUCUUUAGUAGCGGCGAGCGAAAAGAAAUCAGUUCAGCACUAAGUCACUUUGUCUUUAUGGCAAAUGUGAGAUGCAGUGUAUGGAAUGUUCAAUUUCUAGUAUGAGAAAUUAACGAUUUAAGUCCUUCUUAAAUGAGGCCAUUUACCCAUAGAGGGUGCCAGGCCCGUAUAACGUUAAUGAUUACUAGAGAAUAUUUCCAAAGAGUCGUGUUGCUUGAUAGUGCAGCACUAAGUGGGUGGUAAACUCCAUCUAAAACUAAAUAUAACCAUGAGACCGAUAGUAAACAAGUACCGUGAGGGAAAGUUGAAAAGAACUCUGAAUAGAGAGUUAAAUAGUACGUGAAACUGCUUAGAGGUUAAGCCCGAUGAACCUGAAUAUCCAUUAUGGAAAAUUCAUCAUUAUGAUUGUGAUAUGAAUAAUAUUAUAAUAAUGGUGUGCAUUUUUUCCAUAUAAGGACAUUGUAAUCUAUUAAUAUGCCAUUAUUUAUCAUAAGAUCGAUGACUUUAGUUUAUUCAAAUUAUUUUGCUUGCAAUUUAACAUAGAAUAAAUGUUGUCGAUUUGAUAAAGUGUUGAUAGAUUUAUUAUAUAUAGUGCUUGAAUAUUUAUAUUCUAUAAUAGCAUGAUAAUCAUUGAUUUUUGUGUUUAUUAUAUGCACUUAUAUGAUUAACAAUGCGAAAGAUUCAGGAUACCUUCGGGACCCGUCUUUGAAACACGACAAAAAAAGAAUGCUCAAAUUAAAUUCUU